This is a long non-coding RNA of Musa acuminata AAA Group (dessert banana), 627 nucleotides long. RefSeq lists it as uncharacterized. The record is from RefSeq and is a predicted model, not a curated record. Lineage: Eukaryota; Viridiplantae; Streptophyta; Magnoliopsida; Zingiberales; Musaceae. The transcript is spliced from 2 exons.
GGUUCCAAAGAGCAAUUGUACAACAGGCAAACUAGCUCAGCUCAUGGAAAAGCUGAAGCAAUUUACCAGAUGAGGAACCCACUGUUUCCGGAGCACCAAAACUACAGCCAACUGAAAGACCAGGUGAUCGACUUAUACGGCCUCUCUGUAACCGAAGCUAUGCAAUCCCUCAACAACAGGUUGAGCUUCCUGAGACGCAAGGCAAGGUCCUCAGGGCAGCGACUGCACGCCGUAAUAUGCGUUGGAGUUGGUCAGCAGCACUCCAAGGGCACAGGAUCUCCUGCUUGGCUUCCUCUUGCAGUGGAGCAGUACCUGACGACGGAAGGCCUGCAGUUCACCCAGCCUCACCCAGGCCUUCUCCGUGUUGUGAUAUAUUGACAGACACGCUGUAACUAUUAUACCCAAUUGGAGAGAGAGAGAGAGAGAGAGAGAGAGAGAGAGACAGAUACAUCAUACACUUUUCCUUAUUGUGCAUAUGGGUGGAAUAGAAGAGAAAUCAGUGCAGAGUACGUAGUUACACUACUGUUGACGUUGUAAAUGGUGGUGGCUUUCGUUACUACCUUUUGUAAUUUGGUGGGUGGAAUUUUUCUGGUUUUGUUGCCAUAUAUUGUACAUUCUCUUUCUUUA